Molecule: ribosomal RNA, 550 nt
Filed under: Trichoderma harzianum
Lineage: Eukaryota; Fungi; Ascomycota; Sordariomycetes; Hypocreales; Hypocreaceae
Description: eukaryotic LSU rRNA
Rfam family: 5.8S ribosomal RNA (bases 208-361)
Source: RNAcentral
AUUACCGAGUUUACAACUCCCAAACCCAAUGUGAACGUUACCAAACUGUUGCCUCGGCGGGAUCUCUGCCCCGGGUGCGUCGCAGCCCCGGACCAAGGCGCCCGCCGGAGGACCAACCUAAAACUCUUAUUGUAUACCCCCUCGCGGGUUUUUUUUAUAAUCUGAGCCUUCUCGGCGCCUCUCGUAGGCGUUUCGAAAAUGAAUCAAAACUUUCAACAACGGAUCUCUUGGUUCUGGCAUCGAUGAAGAACGCAGCGAAAUGCGAUAAGUAAUGUGAAUUGCAGAAUUCAGUGAAUCAUCGAAUCUUUGAACGCACAUUGCGCCCGCCAGUAUUCUGGCGGGCAUGCCUGUCCGAGCGUCAUUUCAACCCUCGAACCCCUCCGGGGGGUCGGCGUUGGGGAUCGGCCCUCCCUUAGCGGGUGGCCGUCUCCGAAAUACAGUGGCGGUCUCGCCGCAGCCUCUCCUGCGCAGUAGUUUGCACACUCGCAUCGGGAGCGCGGCGCGUCCACAGCCGUUAAACACCCAACUUCUGAAAUGUUGACCUCGGAUC